RNAcentral lists this ribosomal RNA (459 nucleotides) under uncultured Succinatimonas sp. RNAcentral describes it as "partial 16S ribosomal RNA". It matches the Rfam family "Bacterial small subunit ribosomal RNA", at positions 341 to 792 of the family's 1533-position model. The record is from RNAcentral. Lineage: Bacteria; Pseudomonadati; Pseudomonadota; Gammaproteobacteria; Aeromonadales; Succinivibrionaceae.
ACGGAAGGCAGCAGUAGGGAAUAUUGCGCGAUGGGGGGGACCCUGACGCAGCCAUGCCGCGUGCGUGAAGAAGGCCUUCGGGUUGUAAAGCGCUUUGACACGCGAGGAAGGGUGGAUAUCCAAUAAAUAUCUAUUUUGACGUUAGCGUGAGAACAAGGACCGGCAAACUCCGUGCCAGCAGCCGCGGUAAUACGGGGGGUCCGAGCGUCAAUCGGAAUGACUGGGCGUAAAGGGCACGCAGGCGGGCAAUCAAGCCCGACGUGAAAUCUCCGGGCUCAACCCGGAAACGGCGUCGGGAACUGGUUGCCUGGAGUGCGGCAGGGGGAGGCGGAAUUCCGGGUGUAGCGGUGAAAUGCGUAGAGAUCCGGAAGAACACCGAAGGCGAAGGCAGCCUCCUGGGCCAGCACUGACGCUCAAGUGCGAAAGCGUGGGGAGCGAACAGGAUUAGAUACCCUGGUA